CCUACGGGGGGCAGCAGUGGGGAAUCUUGCGCAAUGCGCGAAAGCGUGACGCAGCAACGCCGCGUGCGGGAAGACGGCCUUCGGGUUGUAAACCGCUUUCAGUUGGGACGAAGCUUCGUCCGGUGAAUAGCCGGGCGAAGUGACGGUACCUUCAGAAGAAGCCCCGGCUAACUACGUGCCAGCAGCCGCGGUAAUACGUAGGGGGCGAGCGUUGUCCGGAAUCAUUGGGCGUAAAGCGCGUGUAGGCGGCUUGGUAAGUCCGCUCUGAAAGCCCGGGGCUCAACCCCGGGAGGCGGGUGGAUACUGCUGAGCUCGAGUCCGGAAGAGGCGAGUGGAAUUCCUGGUGUAGCGGUGAAAUGCGCAGAUAUCAGGAGGAACACCUAUGGCGAAGGCAGCUCGCUGGGACGGUACUGACGCUGAGACGCGAAAGCGUGGGGAGC
RNAcentral lists this ribosomal RNA (440 nucleotides) under uncultured bacterium. RNAcentral's name for it is "bacterial SSU rRNA". It matches the Rfam family "Bacterial small subunit ribosomal RNA", at positions 338 to 769 of the family's 1533-position model. The record is from RNAcentral.